CAAUAGCGUAUAUUAAAGUUGUUGCAGUUAAAAAGCUCGUAGUUGGAUUUCUGGUGGGAGCGAUCGGUCUGGCGCUUAGCGCGAGUACUUGCAUCGUCUCCGGCCAUCCUUGGGGAGAGUCUGUCUGGCAUUAGGUUGUCGGGCAGAGGAUCCUCAUCGUUUACUGUGAAAAAAUUAGAGUGUUCAAAGCAGGCUUAUGCCGUUGAAUAUAUUAGCAUGGAAUAAUAAGAUAGGACUUUGGUACUAUUUUGUUGGUUUGCGCACCAAAGUAAUGAUUAAUAGGGACAGUUGGGGGUAAUCGUAUUCCGUUGUCAGAGGUGAAAUUCUUGGAUUUACGGAAGACGAACUACUGCGAAAGCAUUUACCAAGGAUGUUUUCAUUAA
Molecule: ribosomal RNA, 383 nt
Filed under: uncultured eukaryote
Lineage: Eukaryota
Description: partial 18S ribosomal RNA
Rfam family: Eukaryotic small subunit ribosomal RNA
Source: RNAcentral